UGAGGAGAAGCUGCACUCGCACACCGAGACCGUCUGCGGGACAACUACGUCUGCCCCUAGUGAAGUACUCCGGAGACUCGUGCUUCGGUGGAGCGACCACCGACAAGCAAAACAGACUAGUGAGUAUGAUCCAAUCCUCUCAAGAGGAUACCCUGUCUACUAGGGUCAAUGUGCCUCUGCUGCACAGUCAUGAUAUAUAAUCAAUGUUGGGACUUCUACUAUCCCUA
RNAcentral lists this long non-coding RNA (227 nucleotides) under Ananas comosus (pineapple). RNAcentral's name for it is "long non-coding RNA (ACOM_LNC035224)". The record is from RNAcentral. Lineage: Eukaryota; Viridiplantae; Streptophyta; Magnoliopsida; Poales; Bromeliaceae.